CCUACGGGAGGCAGCAGUGAGGAAUAUUGGUCAAUGGGCGAGAGCCUGAACCAGCCAAGUCGCGUGAAGGAUGACGGCCCUACGGGUUGUAAACUUCUUUUGUCAGGGAGCAAUUGUGUCCACGCGUGUGCUUAGCUCGUGUCCCUGAAGUAAAAGAAUCGGCUAACUCCGUGCCAGCAGCCGCGGUCAUAAGGAGGUCGCGAGCGUUAUCCGGCUUUAUUGGGUUUAAAGGGUGCGUAGGCGGAAUAUCAAGUCAGUGGUAAAAAUUCGGGGCUCAACCCCGUCGGGCCGUGGAUACUGAUGAUCUAGAGUGAGCGAGAAGUAUGCGGAAUGCGUGGUGUAGCGGUGAAAUGCGUAGAUAUCACGAAGAACUCCGAUUGCGAAGGCAGCAUACCGGCGCCCAACUGACGCUGAAGCACGAAAGCGUGGGGAUCGAACAGGAUUAGAUACCCGGGUAGUC
RNAcentral lists this ribosomal RNA (460 nucleotides) under uncultured bacterium. RNAcentral describes it as "partial 16S ribosomal RNA". It matches the Rfam family "Bacterial small subunit ribosomal RNA", at positions 338 to 795 of the family's 1533-position model. The record is from RNAcentral.